GACGAACGCUGGCGGCGUGCUUAACACAUGCAAGUCGAACGGAAAGGCCCUGCUUUUGUGGGGUGCUCGAGUGGCGAACGGGUGAGUAACACGUGAGUAACCUGCCCUUGACUUUGGGAUAACUUCAGGAAACUGGGGCUAAUACCGGAUAGGAGCUCCUGCUGCAUGGUGGGGGUUGGAAAGUUUCGGCGGUUGGGGAUGGACUCGCGGCUUAUCGGCUUGUUGGUGGGGUAGUGGCUUACCAAGGCUUUGACGGGUAGCCGGCCUGAGAGGGUGACCGGCCACAUUGGGACUGAGAUACGGCCGAGACUCCUACGGGAGGCAGCAGUGGGGAAUAUUGCACAAUGGGCGGAAGCCUGAUGCAGCAACGCCGCGUGCGGGAUGACGGCCUUCGGGUUGUAAACCGCUUUCGCCUGUGACGAAGCGUGAGUGACGGUAAUGGGUAAAGAAGCACCGGCUAACUACGUG
Molecule: ribosomal RNA, 468 nt
Filed under: uncultured bacterium
Lineage: Bacteria
Description: partial 16S ribosomal RNA
Rfam family: Bacterial small subunit ribosomal RNA
Source: RNAcentral